This 24-nucleotide non-coding RNA is filed under the name Rattus norvegicus (Norway rat). Lineage: Eukaryota; Metazoa; Chordata; Mammalia; Rodentia; Muridae. The record is from RNAcentral.
CUCUAUUGUCUUGGUGCUCGAAUG